GCGGUGACAGAUCUUCGACACGGCAGGUGCACUGUAAUACCGCUUAAGGGAGGAAAAUUCCAAGUUUAGUAACUAAUUACUGCAGGACAGGCAGGUUAUUUUCCAAGGCAAAUGCCUAAUCAAAGACGCAUCUGACCCUUUCGAUUCCCAACAGCGCGCCGGAAAGUUCAACUCGUGCAGCAAACAGCAUCCUGAUCAGGCACAUCCCUCACCCCACCUCGCCGUGCUUCCUCCCCUUUCCUCCUCUCACAACAAAGGCACCAGCCCUGCCUGACAGCUGCUCCGGGAGUUCGCUGGCACCGCGAACCUGAGCCAUGCCGUAAGACCCUCCGCUCACACACCCACCCAGGGGCACUCCUCGCUCCCUGCCGCACAGGCAGCCCCGCACGCGUGGCCAGCUGCCGGCUCCCGCAGGAUCCCGGCCGCGCUGCCGGGAUGGGACGUGCCCGGGAGAGACGCGCCGGGCCCGGCGGAGCCCCCCGCGCACCCGCCCCCGGGGCAGACAGUCUCUGGCCACGGAGGAGACAGGCUGAUGAAACGCUGUCAAAGUCAAUCCCGGCUCACUUUUUGGAUGGUUUAAUUCCAAUGGAGCAUAAAUCACCCCAGGACGGUUAAUAAGUUUAGCCAGGCGUGCUGUUCUCCCUAAUAAUACAUUAUAAUUAUGCAUCUGUUUUAAACGCAAUCAGAUUAAGUCACCGGAAAAGGCACAAAUCGGAAUUUCGCCCGACUAAGAAGAGCGCCUUUCCGCAGGUACGGCCAGGAGAGGAGCAGGUGGGCAGCCUGGUCUCCAGCCCAGCGGCGCUACGCUCCCCGCGGCCGCCCAGCGCAGCCCGGCAGCGCACGGCAACUUCCCGCGGGUGCUCGGUCCCGGCGGAGCGGGGGAACGGGAUGGGAGGCGGCCGGGCACCCCGCUGACACCGCGCAUAAGGGACCAGCCCAGGACAUGCCAACUUGGAUGGGCGAGUCCCCUCCCGCUGCGUGGGGCUGGAGAGGACCGAGUCCGAGCCGACAAAGCCCCGGGCACCAGGACGGGGGAGGCCGAAGCUCCGCUCCCGACAGACACCAAUUCUCAAUGUCCUUCUGGACCUACUGCCAAGAUCCCAGUCAUCGUGACUUAGUCCUCCUUGCUGCAGUGGAAUUGCUGAAUUCACUCACAAGGGGAAACGUAAAGAAGAGUUUGUGUCAAUGAGAAUGUGAUGCUGGGUGAAAAUUCAGCACAGAGCAAACAGAAUGGGAGGAAAUGGAGAUUGAAGAAAGGCAGCUGGAAGCACAGAAGUCAAUUAUUGCUGCAGCAUUUACAGUGUUCCUCCCACCAUAUGCAGCCGUUUGCUGACUAGAAGGCCUUCAGAGUUUCGUAUCAAUUGGAGCCAAUGUUAUGUGGAUUGGUGCCCAGCCCACUUCCCAGCUGAAGUUUGGAGUUGUGAUCUCAGCAGCCCAAGAGAUGUGAAGAAGGCUAGACUGUAUCCCCACCACCUGCUGUAUUCUGGCCAAUCACAUGACAAAUGGAGACUGCUACAUCUUCUUCAUCUUAGCUUUUGGCUGAUUUUGGAGUUAGCCCUGCUUUGGGGCUGACCCUCAGAGGUCCCUUCCAGCCUAAGUUAUUAUGUGAUUAUGACACAGUAACACCUGCUACUCAUAUUUUAAAUGCCUGCAGUAGUCCUUGCUAAUUUUCUGCAAGAAAAAUUGUAGACAAUAUUUUUGGGAAUUCUACAAUGAAUAAGGAGGUAGGUAUAAAUAAUA
Taeniopygia guttata (zebra finch) is the source of this 1740-nucleotide long non-coding RNA. RefSeq lists it as uncharacterized. The record is from RefSeq and is a predicted model, not a curated record. NCBI's taxonomy places the organism in Eukaryota, Metazoa, Chordata, Aves, Passeriformes, Estrildidae.